RNAcentral lists this ribosomal RNA (254 nucleotides) under uncultured bacterium. RNAcentral's name for it is "partial 16S ribosomal RNA". It matches the Rfam family "Bacterial small subunit ribosomal RNA", at positions 524 to 776 of the family's 1533-position model. The record is from RNAcentral.
CACGUAGGGUGCGAGCGUUGUCCGGAAUUAUUGGGCGUAAAGAGCUCGUAGGCGGUUCGGCAAGUCACGUGUGAAAUCUCCACGCUCAACGUGGAGGCGCCACGUGAGACUGCUGUGACUCGAGUCCGGUAGGGGAGCGUGGAAUUCCCGGUGUAGCGGUGAAAUGCGCAGAGAUCGGGAGGAACACCCGUAGCGAAGGCGGCGCUCUGGGCCGGUACUGACGCUGAGGAGCGAAAGCGUGGGGAGCAAACAGG